Molecule: ribosomal RNA, 253 nt
Filed under: uncultured bacterium
Lineage: Bacteria
Description: partial 16S ribosomal RNA
Rfam family: Bacterial small subunit ribosomal RNA
Source: RNAcentral
UACGGAGGGAGCUAGCGUUGUUCGGAAUUACUGGGCGUAAAGCGCACGUAGGCGGCUUUGUAAGUAAGAGGUGAAAGCCUGGAGCUCAACUCCAGAAUUGCCUUUUAGACUGCAUCGCUUGAAUCCAAGAGAGGUGAGUGGAAUUCCGAGUGUAGAGGUGAAAUUCGUAGAUAUUCGGAAGAACACCAGUGGCGAAGGCGGCUCACUGGCUUGGUAUUGACGCUGAGGUGCGAAAGCGUGGGGAGCAAACAGG